UUUUUCAAAGGUUGAAGGUCUAAAAGUGGGUUAAUCAAUCUUCUCUACUGCUAGCUGUGUAGGGCAUUUGAGCACAUAAGCACCCAAAAGAUGGGAAAUUAAUUCAAAUUUUCCCCACUUUUCUUUUGGGAAACUAUUGGAUUGAAAUAAUCGUUAACUUAAUAUU
This is a long non-coding RNA of Hibiscus syriacus, 166 nucleotides long. RefSeq lists it as uncharacterized. The record is from RefSeq and is a predicted model, not a curated record. The transcript is spliced from 3 exons. Lineage: Eukaryota; Viridiplantae; Streptophyta; Magnoliopsida; Malvales; Malvaceae.